UCCUCGGGGCGCAGCAGUGAGGAAUAUUGGUCAAUGGGCUUACGCCUGAACCAGCCAAGUCGCGUGAGGGAAGACUGCCCUAUGGGUUGUAAACCUCUUUUGUCAGGGAGCAACGCCGGCUACGUGUAGCCGGACUGAGAGUACCUGAAGAAAAAGCAUCGGCUAACUCCGUGCCAGCAGCCGCGGUAAUACGGAGGAUGCGAGCGUUAUCCGGAUUUAUUGGGUUUAAAGGGUGCGUAGGCGGGCUGUUAAGUCAGCGGUAAAAGCCCGGGGCUCAACCCCGGCGAGCCGUUGAAACUGGCUGG
This 305-nucleotide ribosomal RNA is filed under the name uncultured bacterium. RNAcentral describes it as "bacterial SSU rRNA". It matches the Rfam family "Bacterial small subunit ribosomal RNA", at positions 338 to 640 of the family's 1533-position model. The record is from RNAcentral.